RNAcentral lists this ribosomal RNA (1024 nucleotides) under Vibrio sp. EPA-1. RNAcentral describes it as "bacterial SSU rRNA". It matches the Rfam family "Bacterial small subunit ribosomal RNA", at positions 56 to 1067 of the family's 1533-position model. The record is from RNAcentral. Lineage: Bacteria; Pseudomonadati; Pseudomonadota; Gammaproteobacteria; Vibrionales; Vibrionaceae.
UGCAAGUCGAGCGGUAACAGAAAGAAAGCUUGCUUUCUUUGCUGACGAGCGGCGGACGGGUGAGUAAUGCCUGGGAAAUUGCCUUGAUGUGGGGGAUAACCAUUGGAAACGAUGGCUAAUACCGCAUAAUGCCUUCGGGCCAAAGAGGGGGACCUUCGGGCCUCUCGCGUCAAGAUAUGCCCAGGUGAGAUUAGCUUGUUGGUGAGGUAAGAGCUCACCAAGGCGACGAUCUCUAGCUGGUCUGAGAGGAUGAUCAGCCACAUUGGGACUGAGACACGGCCCAAACUCCUACGGGAGGCAGCAGUGGGGAAUAUUGCACAAUGGGCGCAAGCCUGAUGCAGCCAUGCCGCGUGUAUGAAGAAGGCCUUCGGGUUGUAAAGUACUUUCAGCAGUGAGGAAGGGGUGAUGUUUAAUAGACAYCAUUCUUGACGUUAGCUGCAGAAGAAGCACCGGCUAACUCCGUGCCAGCAGCCGCGGUAAUACGGAGGGUGCGAGCGUUAAUCGGAAUUACUGGGCGUAAAGCGCAUGCAGGUGGUCUGUUAAGUCAGAUGUGAAAGCCCGAGGCUUAACCUCGGAAUAGCAUUUGAAACUGGCAGGCUAGAGUACUGUAGAGGGGGGUAGAAUUUCAGGUGUAGCGGUGAAAUGCGUAGAGAUCUGAAGGAAUACCAGUGGCGAAGGCGGCCCCCUGGACAGAUACUGACACUCAGAUGCGAAAGCGUGGGGAGCAAACAGGAUUAGAUACCCUGGUAGUCCACGCCGUAAACGAUGUCUACUUGGAGGUUGUGGCCUUGAGCCGUGGCUUUCGGAGCUAACGCGUUAAGUAGACCGCCUGGGGAGUACGGUCGCAAGAUUAAAACUCAAAUGAAUUGACGGGGGCCCGCACAAGCGGUGGAGCAUGUGGUUUAAUUCGAUGCAACGCGAAGAACCUUACCUACUCUUGACAUCCAGAGAACUUAGCAGAGAUGCUUUGGUGCCUUCGGGAACUCUGAGACAGGUGCUGCAUGGCUGUCGUCAGCUCGUGUUG